Molecule: ribosomal RNA, 433 nt
Filed under: uncultured bacterium
Lineage: Bacteria
Description: partial 16S ribosomal RNA
Rfam family: Bacterial small subunit ribosomal RNA
Source: RNAcentral
AACGAACGCUGGCGGCAUGCCUAACACAUGCAAGUCGAACGAUGCCUUCGGGCAUAGUGGCGCACGGGUGCGUAACGCGUGGGAAUCUGCCUUUCGGUUCGGAAUAACUCAGGGAAACUUGAGCUAAUACCGGAUAACGUCGCAAGACCAAAGAUUUAUCACCGAAAGAUGAGCCCGCGUAGGAUUAGCUAGUUGGUGAGGUAAAGGUUCACCAAGGCGACGAUCCUUAGCUGGUCUGAGAGGAUGAUCAGCCACACUGGGACUGAGACACGGCCCAGACUCCUACGGGAGGCAGCAGUGGGGAAUAUUGGACAAUGGGCGAAAGCCUGAUCCAGCAAUGCCGCGUGAGUGAUGAAGGCCUUAGGGUUGUAAAGCUCUUUUACCCGGGAAGAUAAUGACGGUACCGGGAGAAUAAGCCCCGGCUAACUCCGUG